Molecule: ribosomal RNA, 356 nt
Filed under: uncultured bacterium
Lineage: Bacteria
Description: bacterial SSU rRNA
Rfam family: Bacterial small subunit ribosomal RNA
Source: RNAcentral
AAUCAACGCUGGCGGCGUGCCUCAGACAUGCAAGUCGAACGCGAAAGGCCCCUUCGGGGGCCCGGUAGAGUGGCGCACGGGUGAGUAACACGUAGGUAAUUUGCCUUCGGGUGGGGAAUAACAGCCGGAAACGGCUGCUAAUACCGCAUAAUGCAGCGGCUCGACAUCGAGACAGUUGUUAAAGCGGGGGAUCGCAAGACCUCGCGCCUGAAGAGAAGCCUGCGGCAGAUAGCUUGUUGGUGAGGUAAUGGCUCACCAAGGCGACGAUCUGUAACCGGCCUGAGAGGGCGGUCGGUCACACUGACACUGACAUACGGGUCAGACUCCUACGGGAGGCAGCAGUCGGGAAUUUUGGG